This is a non-coding RNA of Paramuricea clavata, 229 nucleotides long. NCBI's taxonomy places the organism in Eukaryota, Metazoa, Cnidaria, Anthozoa, Malacalcyonacea, Plexauridae. The record is from the annotation of a GenBank genome assembly.
AAUCUUUGUUUUCUGUAGCCCUUUUCCCCAAAUGUAUUCAACUGGUGCGUUUUGGUCUUUGUUGUCUUAAGUCCAAACCUUGUUUUCAGAUUAUCAAUAAUAUACGAACGUUGGCUUCCAGUAUCAAAUAAUAUACGCACAGUUGUUGACUUCGAUCCGUCUUCGUUUAGUGCAGUCGCUGUCGCAGUUUGUAGCAAAACGUUCUCCUUUGCUUUUGCACAGGUCGUCC